RNAcentral lists this small nuclear RNA (20 nucleotides) under Arabidopsis thaliana (thale cress). Its description in RNAcentral is "snRNA_06767". The record is from RNAcentral. Lineage: Eukaryota; Viridiplantae; Streptophyta; Magnoliopsida; Brassicales; Brassicaceae.
CUUUCGAGUUUCCAGAAACU